UAGGGAAUCUUCCGCAAUGGACGCAAGUCUGACGGAGCAACGCCGCGUGAGUGAAGAAGGAUUUCGGUUCGUAAAACUCUGUUGUUAGAGAAGAACAGCGCAUAGAGUAACUGUUAUGCGUGUGACGGUAUCUAACCAGAAAGCCACGGCUAACUACGUGCCAGCAGCCGCGGUAAUACGUAGGUCCCGAGCGUUGUCCGGAUUUAUUGGGCGUAAAGCGAGCGCAGGCGGUUAGAUAAGUCUGAAGUUAAAGGCAGUGGCUCAACCAUUGUAGGCUUUGGAAACUGUUUAACUUGAGUGCAGAAGGGGAGAGUGGAAUUCCAUGUGUAGCGGUGAAAUGCGUAGAUAUAUGGAGGAACACCAGUGGCGAAGGCGACUCUCUGGUCUGUAACUGACGCUGAGGUUCGAAAGCGUGGGUAGCAAACAGG
This 428-nucleotide ribosomal RNA is filed under the name Bacteroidota bacterium. RNAcentral describes it as "Bacteroidetes bacterium partial 16S ribosomal RNA". It matches the Rfam family "Bacterial small subunit ribosomal RNA", at positions 355 to 776 of the family's 1533-position model. Lineage: Bacteria; Pseudomonadati; Bacteroidota. The record is from RNAcentral.